Molecule: long non-coding RNA, 467 nt
Organism: Esox lucius (northern pike)
Lineage: Eukaryota; Metazoa; Chordata; Actinopteri; Esociformes; Esocidae
Exons: 3
Source: RefSeq, a predicted model, not a curated record
UCCUACGCUUUAGUAGAGUCAAAACUAGUAGGAACAUUUUAGUGAGUGGGUUCUUUCGUUCAGGAACAAUUCUUGUUCAAAGUGUGUAAAGUAUAAGCUACAGUAUAUGCUCUGAAUUGGACAAUACAACAUGUGGAUUAUCACAUUGUUUUACUACAAUUUGAUGAACUCCCGAAACAAACGAAUAUCAAGGAUUAUUUGGACAUCAGACCGAAAAUUGUUGAAAGCCGAGUCACCUACAUAGCUAUGGGUUCCCCAGAGUGAUCUGUGCCAUAGACUGCACCCAUCUUCUGAUAAACAGCAUCGCUGGGUGAGAAUGAAGGCGAUUUUGUUAAUCACAAGUCAUUACACAGCAUCAAAGUUCAGGACACACCUCCACGACUCGACCCAGCCUAAACUGGCCCCUCAGUGCGUUCUGUUCAGCUAACCACACCAGGUCCCCCGCUGCAACAUUUCUAGCAGGCGCG